Molecule: transfer RNA, 63 nt
Filed under: Cucujoidea sp. 40 KM-2017
Lineage: Eukaryota; Metazoa; Arthropoda; Insecta; Coleoptera
Description: tRNA-Tyr
Rfam family: tRNA
About the family: Transfer RNA (tRNA) molecules are approximately 80 nucleotides in length. Their secondary structure includes four short double-helical elements and three loops (D, anti-codon, and T loops).
Source: RNAcentral
AAUGAAGUGGCUGAAUUAAGGCAAUAAACUGUAAAUUUAUUUAUGGGUUUAAACCCCUUCAUU